RNAcentral lists this transfer RNA (77 nucleotides) under Sphingomonas sp. Its description in RNAcentral is "tRNA-Pro". It matches the Rfam family "tRNA". From Rfam's summary of the family: Transfer RNA (tRNA) molecules are approximately 80 nucleotides in length. Their secondary structure includes four short double-helical elements and three loops (D, anti-codon, and T loops). Lineage: Bacteria; Pseudomonadati; Pseudomonadota; Alphaproteobacteria; Sphingomonadales; Sphingomonadaceae. The record is from RNAcentral. RNAcentral also lists the same sequence under 7 other names.
CGGGGAAUAGCUCAGCCCGGUAGAGCACUGCCUUCGGGAGGCAGGGGCCGGAGGUUCGAAUCCUCUUUCCCCGACCA